RNAcentral lists this unclassified non-coding RNA (1154 nucleotides) under Drosophila virilis. RNAcentral's name for it is "GJ13347". Lineage: Eukaryota; Metazoa; Arthropoda; Insecta; Diptera; Drosophilidae. The record is from RNAcentral.
AGCGGUAAAAAGCGCGCGUCGUGUUUAACAUCAUAUCAGAGUUUCGCAAAUUUUACAUCAUGCCAAAUACAAAAUGCUCAGGCGACAUGGAGGAUUGUGUGAUGCCAGUACGUUCUGCUAAUCCGAUACGCGCUAGAAGUUUGAUCCGAGACAAUUUGGAGAAACAGGCUGGUUGUCUAAAUCUAAUACACUCCAGAAUGCCAAACAUUAAAGUGUUUUCGGGCACCUCGCAUCCGGAUUUGGCGCAGCGUAUUGUCGAUCGCCUUGGCAUCGACCUGGGCAAAGUGGUCACCAAGAAGUUUAGCAAUUUGGAAACAUGUGUCGAGAUCGGAGAAUCGGUGCGCGGCGAAGAUGUUUAUAUCGUACAGUCCGGUUCCGGGGAGAUCAAUGAUAAUUUAAUGGAGCUGCUGAUCAUGAUAAAUGCAUGCAAAAUAGCAUCAGCCUCUCGUGUUACAGCUGUGAUUCCUUGCUUUCCAUAUGCCCGCCAAGACAAAAAAGAUAAGAGCCGUGCGCCCAUCUCGGCGAAAUUGGUCGCUAAUAUGCUAUCAGUGGCCGGUGCGGAUCAUAUUAUAACCAUGGAUCUACAUGCCUCACAGAUUCAGGGUUUCUUCGAUAUACCAGUUGAUAAUCUCUAUGCCGAGCCGGCGGUACUCAAAUGGAUCAAAGAGAACAUUCCCGAAUGGAAAAAUUCGAUUAUCGUAUCGCCCGAUGCUGGCGGCGCCAAGCGUGUCACCUCGAUUGCGGAUCGCUUGAACGUGGAGUUCGCGCUGAUACACAAGGAGCGCAAGAAGGCCAACGAGGUGGCCUCCAUGGUGCUCGUUGGUGAUGUUAAGGAUAAGAUUGCCAUAUUGGUCGACGAUAUGGCCGAUACAUGCGGCACCAUUGUCCAUGCCGCCGAUCGUCUCGUCGAAGCGGGCGCACACCAAGGUGUAUGCCAUACUGACGCACGGCAUUUUUUCGGGUCCGGCGAUUUCGCGCAUUAACAAUGCCUGCUUCGAGGCGGUCGUUGUGACCAAUACCAUACCACAGGAUGGCCAUAUGCGUGAUUGCCCCAAAAUACAGUGCAUUGAUGUGUCCAUGAUGUUCGCCGAGGCAGUUAGACGGACACACAAUGGCGAGAGUGUCUCGUAUCUCUUCUCAAAUGUUCCAUAUUA